Long non-coding RNA from Lacerta agilis (Sand lizard), 2374 nucleotides. RefSeq lists it as uncharacterized. NCBI's taxonomy places the organism in Eukaryota, Metazoa, Chordata, Lepidosauria, Squamata, Lacertidae. The record is from RefSeq and is a predicted model, not a curated record. The transcript has 10 exons.
UUUUCCAACAGCAUCCUUGGACUUCAGCCGCUCUCCUGUAAUCAGAGAAUGCUCAGGAAUCUUGGCGCUGGGUAAACAAAAACAAAACAAAAAAGUACUGGAGCCAUCCUGCGCCCAAGCUGAAUGUCUCCUCUCUACACACUUCUGUUAGGAUUCUUCCAGGCUCUGCACCAUGAAGAUGCCAGCACCAGGUAUUUGGACACAGGGUCUCAAAAGGACAGGAUGAGGCUCAGACAUGCUCACGCCUCAUACAUCAAAACAGCUGAAGGGUUCCUGUUACACAGCUGGUGAGCACUAGUGUCUUGCUCUUUCUUCAGCUCCUCUGCCAUCAUGGCCGCCUUGACAUACAAACAAUAGAGUCCAGUCAACAGGUACACUCGGAGCAAAGGGCAGAAGCUCAGCAGAGUUUGAAAGAUCAACUUGUGACCACCAGAAAUGGCCUGCUGGGACCACCUCAACAAAUUCGAAUGCCUUCAAGCACUCCAUUACAUCGUAGCUGGUGCAGGACAAGCUUGUGAUCCAUUGCACCUGUGGAAGAGAAAACCAAAAUAGCAGUUUUCCCUGAUACUCGACUGAAGUCCUGCUGGAAAUUGAUGUCAGAUUGUCUUAGUUACCUGGAGUUUUAGUUUCAUUGGGGAUGAUGCAGCGCACAAAAUGUGGCACGAACAUGUGAUGGUUGAAAAACUGUUGCAGUUUCUCAUUGGUGAAGUUGAUGCAAAGCUGCUCCAGGCUGUUGUACUAACACCAGAAUAUAUUAUGUUAAUAUGAUGACUUUGGUUUCAAAGGUACACAGAAAGAAGAAAGGAACUGGAUGAAAUAAGACGUCUUAAUCUAGAAAGGAGCAGACAGCUAGGUUAAUGUUACCCAUUGGGCAGCAAAGAUUAGAGAAGAGAACUCAGCAACGGACCUCAGCCACAGCCAUUAAGGACCAAGCCCCCUUGGUUCAGCAAUACUGCAUUGCCUGUAUCCAAAACUAUUACAUGGAUAUCUCAACAAAGAAGCACUUGGUAAACAGCCUGCAAUUAGCUCUUGAAGUCCCCCCCUCCCAAAGCAGGAUUCAACAUAUCCCCAAGCAUUCAGGGAAUACAUAAAUAUACAAAUAUCUGUCCUUCUGCAAACCUGUUUGUAGUCUAGAAAUGAUAACUGCUUUGACUGAUACACCCUCUUCAGGAAGAGUGCUGCCUCCAGAUCGACACUUCAUGCUCUCCUCUUCCUCAGAGCCUCCUCAUUUGGCCAACACACCUGGUAAUCUUUGCAGAAACUUGAGGCAUUAUUUAAAGAGUCUGCUUGUUGCAAGGCUGAGGAAACAAGGUGCUGACACACAGGAUGGCUUUGCUGUUGUGCAGAUUCCACCAAUGCCAAGGUGAGAAGGGGCUGUUGGUGUUUGUUUUCCUGGACAGCAAAGGGUAUUCCUCCAGCCCUUGUUGCUUCCAGACAACAUCCUUGUUUAUUGGCACUCUCUUUUCUUUGGUAAGUUUUCAUGGAAGAGACGCCACCUUCAUUCUUUUGUCCAGGUCCAGCUGGUCAACCUUCUUCCUGAACAAGCACCCACAUCUCUUUAUCCUCGUUUGUGUGUGUGUGUGGUUUUCUCCUCAACAUCCAUUGCCGUUAAUUGGAAGACCUACUCAAAUAAGUCCUGUGACCCACCUCCCCCAGCAGCUCUUCAACCACCAUUUAGGGACAGUUGUAGUAUGCCUAGACUUGAUCUGAAAAUUAAUGGAAGGUUUUUUUGAGGGCAUUCCCUGAUAUAUAUAGAGCAGUAACAGAAACAUAGCAAUGCUAUUAGUAGCUGAAAUAUGGUGAUAUAACAAUAUGCAAAAGAAUCUGCACACUGCAAGCCCUUCCCUCCAUUACUUAUUAGAGGUAAAUUAUACUUCACACUGUGUGCAAACCUGCUUGUGUGGAAACUCAGUCCAUUGCCAGUAAGCCAAUCCUCAACAUUCAUUUUAGUGCUUAAUUGAAUAAGGCUGGAUUUUCUGUCUCCCUGCAGUUCCAUCUCAUGUCUGGUCCUCAUUUAGUACGGGUUAGCAGCUGCCUCCCCCAUCUUCCUUUAAUUCAUUUAUUUCUGGGAAAUGAAAUUCAAUAUUCUCUUCUACACCCAACUGUUUGCUGAAUUUGGGAGCAAUGCUCUCUCCUGUCUUGGGGAGGUUAGGCUUGUGAAUGCAUGCUCCAGAACACUGAAGUUACGGAAACUGUUUUAUAAAAGGGCAAGAGAAACCCUUUGUGUUCAAAUUAUGUACUGUCAUAAGUUUUAAGAAUCAUUUAAUGGCAUGUUAUAGUGUUUUAUAUUUUAAUGAUUUUUAAGCUGCUUUGAGAGCUGUAUCACAAAAAAGUCUAGAUAAUUCUGUAAAUAAAUAAUAUCAAAUGUAAAAUG